GGAUCAUUCACCAUGCAUGUGGUAAUCCACAUAGACAGGUUAUUCCAAUAGAAUAAUAAAGAAUGGAAUAACAGAAGAAUUCACCAUGCAUGCGAUAGACCGCACAGACAGGUUAUUCCAACAGAAUAAUAAAGAAUGGAACCAGUUCAUGCGUAAUCCGCACAGACAGGAUAUUCCAACAGAAUAAUAAAGAAUGGAACCAGGUCAUGCG
This 211-nucleotide long non-coding RNA is filed under the name Panax ginseng (ginseng). Its description in RNAcentral is "long non-coding RNA (PGIN_LNC017916)". Lineage: Eukaryota; Viridiplantae; Streptophyta; Magnoliopsida; Apiales; Araliaceae. The record is from RNAcentral.